CGGGUCCAAAGCUCACGUGGAGAUCUACCCCGGGCAUACUUUUUGGCCCAUUUGGAAGACAAACACCCUGGUCCAGUUCUCCCCCGACACGGAGGGAUACCCGUGGAAGCGCUCCCGGCCACCCGAGGUCGGGCAAGCUUCCCUAGUUUGGAAGGGACACGAGCGGAUCCGAGCGAAGCGACCGCGCGUCCGCGCCCUCCGUCGCCACCACCAUCCGCUCCGCCGCCGCUCCAUCGUCGUCCACAUUGCUGCCAUCCGCUCUGCCGCUACUCCAUCGUCGUCCUUCCCCGAAGCAGUCGUGAGCGAGACGUGAGGCGACGGUGCCCUCCACCACCGCCACCGUCUCGGAUUUGUCGUCAUUCACCGCCAUCUCUGCCUCAGUUUGCUGUCCUCCACCACCGUCUUCCGCGGCACUAUGUACAAUACAAUGUUGUCUCCAAGACCCAGUACAUGGUCUUCUCCAAGAUCCAGUACAAGAUCGUCUCCUCCAAGAUUUGAACCCCAACGCUAGUGAGAGUGGAGGCAACACAUGAAACCAACAUGGAGAAGAAAAAUGAAAUGGCAUUCCACAUGAAGCUUGUGAAAAAGAGUUAAACUCGUAAUUUAUUCUAGUGCAGAAGUUCCUAACCAAGAGAUUUGUAUUCCAUUUUUUAUAUUAUAUUGUCUAUCUAUAUGUGUGAAUAAAGGUGACCUUAUAUGAUGUGAUGAUGUAUGAAUUAGCUUCAAUGGAUAUUAUAUGGUAUUCAAAUUAAACUUUACAUGAAUUAUAUGUGGUGCAUUAUUUUUGGA
Long non-coding RNA from Zea mays, 789 nucleotides. RefSeq lists it as uncharacterized. NCBI's taxonomy places the organism in Eukaryota, Viridiplantae, Streptophyta, Magnoliopsida, Poales, Poaceae. The transcript has 3 exons. The record is from RefSeq and is a predicted model, not a curated record.